GUUUGGAAUUUCUCAAUCCGUUUGACGAUCAUUUUUGUUUCGUAGGCAUGGUUCUAGAAUUGGAACAGUCACCGUCGACCUUGACAACAACAUCGAAGAAAAUAAAAUAAUUUUACAGCAAAACAGAAGCAGGUAGUACAUACUCCCUCCGUCCAAAAAAAAAAAGACAAACUCUGGUUUCCGUGCCCAACGUUUGACCGUCUGUUUUAUUUAAAAAAAUUAUAAAAAAAAUUAAAAAGACAAGUCACGUAUAAAAUAUUAAUUAUAUUUUAUCAUCUAACAAUAAUAAAAAUACGAAUUAUAAAAAAAAAUUAUAUAAGACGGACAGUCAAAAUUGGACACGGAAACUUAGGGUUUGACUUUUUUUUGGGACGGAGGGAGUUCUUUACAUGGUAGGUUAGGCCAGGUCAAUACCCGUGGCAUGUUUAUUGAAGCCAAAACUAAAGGAGUAUUUGAUUUUCUCGUUGUGAUAGUGGAUUUAAUCUAAACUAGCAAAUCGCAUGCAUAGCUUAUACUACAACAUUAAAGCAAGCUAAGCUGGGUGAAUUCCUAAAGCUAAAGAAAAAGCCAAAGGUGCCUUGGACAGUUUGACCACGGUCAGUUGCGGCUCCCUCCAUCCGCCAUCAGCCGCGCAAAGUAGUAAUGGGCUAUACUUUUCCCCUCUUAAGUGGAUGGGCUUUUUAGAGAGGAAUAAGCUCAUUUUAGAUCCCUUAAUUUAUCGUCAAGUCUAAAAUUUACCCCUAACCGCAAUAUCAGACAUGAUGUGUCCCUUAAGAAAAAAAAACAUUCAACAUUACCCUCGCAAUACCGACUAAAUUAAGCUAGCUCACAAUAAAAAAAAAUCCAACCAGAUCUGCAAGCUAAUUGGAGUAGCCAAGAAAAUAUAACCCCCGCCAAGGACUCGAGUACUGUUGCAUCGACAUUAAGGGGGUGUUUAAAUCCACCGGCAAAUUUUUUUUUCCCGUCACAUCGAACGUUUAAACACAUGUACGGAGUAUUAAAUAUAUACGAAAAAAAUAAAUUACAUAGUUUACGUGUAAAUUGCGAGACGAAUCUUUUAAACCUAAUUGCGUCAUGAUAUGACAAUGUGGUGCCACAGUAAAUAUUUGCUAAUGAUGGACAUUAAGUGUUUAGUGGACAUUAACUUUAUAAAAAGAAGAGAUUUAGUUACAUACUCAAAUGUCUUGAUAUAACUUAUAAAGAGACAGCG
This 1210-nucleotide small RNA is filed under the name Oryza sativa Japonica Group (Japanese rice). RNAcentral describes it as "sRNA Os04g0677550". The stretch from base 161 to 365 matches the Rfam family "MIR812 microRNA precursor family". Lineage: Eukaryota; Viridiplantae; Streptophyta; Magnoliopsida; Poales; Poaceae. The record is from RNAcentral.